GCACGGGCCACAGGAAAACCCAUGCAUGUGACCCUGCUGUGAUAAUAAGUCUGUCUGAUCUCGGCCUAAGCUACCUCACAAGAUUGUUGUGAGGCUAUACAACCUUUAGGAUAUACCUGCCAUAAAUAAAUAUCUGGACCUAUCUUGCUUUCUCUUGCUAGGAUGUUUUUCCCUGAAAACUGGAUCUGGUUAGCUCUCAUACAGAAUAUGCCUUCAAAUAGAUGAACUGUAUAAAUUAACCAUGUAAAUCAAAUCUUUGCUGUUUCUCUGCAGAACAACUUCCGCUGUCCCGUUAUGUUGUCCCUGUUCUUCUCUUGAUUGGGUGGAUUGCAGGUUGUGCAUUAAUGGUUUACUAUGUCUUCUCCUAGAAGAAGGGAAGAAACCUUGGCAAAAGCACUUUGAAACUGGAUGAAGAUUCUGUUUUCUUUUUUUAUUCUAUAUUAAAUUAAAUUCUAGUAAUGUAAAGGAGCGAUCAUAUGUAUACAUUUGUCAGAAUUCANCACCUUACAUUCUCAGAUCAGAUCCAUGAAAUCAGGAAACAGGCAGAGAAGUGAAACAUCAUGAUCUUCACCUUAUUGCGAUAAUAGAAUACAAGGAAAU
RNAcentral lists this long non-coding RNA (600 nucleotides) under Salvator merianae (Argentine black and white tegu). Its description in RNAcentral is "lncRNA (ENSSMRG00000003447.1)". The record is from RNAcentral. Lineage: Eukaryota; Metazoa; Chordata; Lepidosauria; Squamata; Teiidae.